GACGAACGCUGGCGGCGUGCUUAACACAUGCAAGUCGAACGAUGAACCGGUUUCGGCCGGGGAUUAGUGGCGAACGGGUGAGUAACACGUGGGCAAUCUGCCCUGCACUCUGGGAUAAGCCCGGGAAACUGGGUCUAAUACCGGAUACGACACUCCGAGGCAUCUUGGGGUGUGGAAAGUUCCGGCGGUGCAGGAUGAGCCCGCGGCCUAUCAGCUUGUUGGUGGGGUAAUGGCCUACCAAGGCGACGACGGGUAGCCGGCCUGAGAGGGUGACCGGCCACACUGGGACUGAGACACGGCCCAGACUCCUACGGGAGGCAGCAGUGGGGAAUAUUGCACAAUGGGCGAAAGCCUGAUGCAGCGACGCCGCGUGAGGGAUGACGGCCUUCGGGUUGUAAACCUCUUUCAGCAGGGAAGAAGCGAAAGUGACGGUACCUGCAGAAGAAGCACCGGCUAACUACGCG
RNAcentral lists this ribosomal RNA (464 nucleotides) under uncultured bacterium. RNAcentral's name for it is "partial 16S ribosomal RNA". It matches the Rfam family "Bacterial small subunit ribosomal RNA", at positions 28 to 507 of the family's 1533-position model. The record is from RNAcentral.